RNAcentral lists this ribosomal RNA (497 nucleotides) under uncultured bacterium. RNAcentral describes it as "partial 16S ribosomal RNA". It matches the Rfam family "Bacterial small subunit ribosomal RNA", at positions 28 to 507 of the family's 1533-position model. The record is from RNAcentral.
GAUGAACGCUGGCGGCGUGCCUAAUACAUGCAAGUCGAGCGAACAGACGAGGAGCUUGCUCCUCUGACGUUAGCGGCGGACGGGUGAGUAACACGUGGAUAACCUACCUAUAAGACUGGGAUAACUUCGGGAAACCGGAGCUAAUACCGGAUAAUAUUUUGAACCGCAUGGUUCAACAGUGAAAGACGGUCUUGCUGUCACUUAUAGAUGGAUCCGCGCUGCAUUAGCUAGUUGGUAAGGUAACGGCUUACCAAGGCAACGAUGCAUAGCCGACCUGAGAGGGUGAUCGGCCACACUGGAACUGAGACACGGUCCAGACUCCUACGGGAGGCAGCAGUAGGGAAUCUUCCGCAAUGGGCGAAAGCCUGACGGAGCAACGCCGCGUGAGUGAUGAAGGUCUUCGGAUCGUAAAACUCUGUUAUUAGGGAAGAACAUAUGUGUAAGUAACUGUGCACAUCUUGACGGUACCUAAUCAGAAAGCCACGGCUAACUACGUG